RNAcentral lists this ribosomal RNA (453 nucleotides) under uncultured bacterium. RNAcentral's name for it is "bacterial SSU rRNA". It matches the Rfam family "Bacterial small subunit ribosomal RNA", at positions 61 to 507 of the family's 1533-position model. The record is from RNAcentral.
GUCGUGCGCGAAGCCUUCGGGCGAGUAAAGCGGCGAACGGGUGAGUAACACGUAAUCAACCUACCCUCGAGAUCGGAAUAACCACUGGAAACGGUGGGUAAUGCCGAAUGGUCCCACGGAGAGGCAUCUCUUUGUGGGUAAACGGUAGCUCUGCUACUGCUUGGGGAGGGGAUUGCGGCCUAUCAGCUUGUUGGUGGGGUAACGGCCUACCAAGGCAAUGACGGGUAGCUGGUCUGAGAGGACGACCAGUCACACUGGGACUGAGACACUGCCCAGACUCCUACGGGAGGCUGCAGUCGAGAAUCUUCCGCAAUGGGCGAAAGCCUGACGGAGCGACACCGCGUGUAGGAUGAAGGCCCUCGGGUUGUAAACUACUGUCACGCUAUAGGAAACCCCUGUCGUUAAUAGCGCCAGGGCUGACCAAAGCGAGAGGAAGCACCGGCUAACUCCGUG